Molecule: non-coding RNA, 23 nt
Filed under: Arabidopsis thaliana (thale cress)
Lineage: Eukaryota; Viridiplantae; Streptophyta; Magnoliopsida; Brassicales; Brassicaceae
Source: RNAcentral
GAUGCAGAUUGGGGAACUUGUCA